Molecule: long non-coding RNA, 464 nt
Filed under: Sinocyclocheilus anshuiensis
Lineage: Eukaryota; Metazoa; Chordata; Actinopteri; Cypriniformes; Cyprinidae
Description: lncRNA (ENSSANG00000028530.1)
Source: RNAcentral
GGGAGGUUCGUCCAGAAGGAGACCUUUAAAUGUGUGGGCCAGACAACUUGCCCUCAUUUCUUUAUUUCUGAUCUAGAGCAGGCCAAGGGACAGAGCUUGAGGUUUGUGCAAAUCAUGUCAGUUUUGCUUUUUUUAUUUUACUUAUGUGUGUACGGGAUCAAAUGAAUGUAAAACGAACUAGUGAAACAUCCAAUGAAUUGAUUGUGUAGUAUUUUAGUCUGAGGAGCUGGUUGUUUUUGUUUGCAGCUGUUGCGGUGGGUGAAGGUCAUCAGGCUCUCUGGGCUCUGUGGUUGUCUGCUUUUCCAGCUCUGCUGGGGACUUCGCCGCUGUUUUCGGAGAAGGAAAGCACUGACUCCAGGAUCUGUAAGCCUGCUCCACAGUGGGAGAUCGAAGGUUGGGAGACCUGCGUGACAAGCUGGCCCUUGGCAAGCUGACUAACAUAUCAUUCCUGGUUGUCAACGAGC